UACGUAGGGGGCAAGCGUUGUCCGGAUUUAUUGGGCGUAAAGCGCACGCAGGCGGUCUCUUAAGUUUCGAGUGACAGGUCAGGGCUUAACCCUGGCAGGCCUUGGAAAACUGGGAGACUUGAGGGCUUCAGAGGGACGCGGAAUUCCAGGUGGAGCGGUGAAAUGCGUAGAUAUCUGGAGGAACACCGGUGGCGAAGGCGGCAUCCUGGACCAACACUGACACUGAGGAGCGAAAGCCAGGGGAGCAAACGGG
RNAcentral lists this ribosomal RNA (253 nucleotides) under uncultured bacterium. RNAcentral's name for it is "partial 16S ribosomal RNA". It matches the Rfam family "Bacterial small subunit ribosomal RNA", at positions 524 to 776 of the family's 1533-position model. The record is from RNAcentral.